GACGUAGGGUCCGAGCGUUGUCCGGAGUUACUGGGCGUAAAGGGCGCGUAGGCGGCUUCGUGCGUCACCCCGUGAAAGCCCCCGGCUCAACCGGGGAGGGUCGUGUGAAACGGCGGAGCUGGAGGCAGCGAGAGGCUGGUGGAAUUCCCGGAGUAGUGGUGAAAUGCGUAGAGAUCGGGAGGAACACCGGUGGCGAAGGCGGGUCUCUGGGCAGUAACUGACGCUGAGGAGCGAAAGCGUGGGGAGCGAACAGG
Molecule: ribosomal RNA, 254 nt
Filed under: uncultured bacterium
Lineage: Bacteria
Description: partial 16S ribosomal RNA
Rfam family: Bacterial small subunit ribosomal RNA
Source: RNAcentral